This 501-nucleotide small RNA is filed under the name Pan troglodytes (chimpanzee). RNAcentral's name for it is "processed transcript". Lineage: Eukaryota; Metazoa; Chordata; Mammalia; Primates; Hominidae. The record is from RNAcentral.
GAAAAGGGGGCAAAGGGAAUAAGAGGGAAGAGGGGUAAUGCUGGCUUUCCUGGAUUUGUUGGAACUUCGGGUGACCAAGGCCCACCAGGACAAAUGCCUUGCAAAAUUGUUGAUUUCACACGCGAAAACUGCCAAAUAAAGUGGAUUGACAGCAUGACAUCUCAACGAUGAAGAGAAGCUCCACUGAGCAAUACUGUGCCCCAGGAGAUGUCAUAACUGCACACCUGUGUGCCUACAUCUUGCUGCUGCUUAUCACAAAACAGAGGAGUUUGUUCAAGAGGUAUUUCCAAAUGCCCAGCAUUCCCAACCGAAGUGGCCUUUGCCUUGGACAUGUCAAAUGAUGUCUCCCUGUUGGAUUUUGAGAGGAUGAGAGACAUUUUAUUGUCUCUGUUGAUGAAGAUGGAAAUAAGUGACAGUAACUGCCCAACAGGUGCCCGUGUGGACAUUGUUUCCUACAAUGCCAAAACCAAUUACUUGGUUCGUUUCUCAGACUACAAGGGG